This 433-nucleotide ribosomal RNA is filed under the name uncultured bacterium. RNAcentral describes it as "partial 16S ribosomal RNA". It matches the Rfam family "Bacterial small subunit ribosomal RNA", at positions 29 to 507 of the family's 1533-position model. The record is from RNAcentral.
AACGAACGCUGGCGGCAUGCCUAACACAUGCAAGUCGAACGAGACCUCCGGGUCUUGUUGCGCACGGGUGCGUAACGCGUGGGAACCUGCCCUUAGGUUCGCUAUAACUCCCCGUAAGGGGUGCUAAUACCGCUUAAUGUCUUCGGACCUAAGAUUUAUGGCUAUUGGAUGGGGCCGCGUUGGAUUGGUGAGUUGGUAGGGGAAAAGCAUGCCAAGGGGAGGAUCCAUAGCUGGUCGGAGAGGAUGAUCAGCCACACUGGGACUGAGACACGGACCAGAAUCCGACGGGAAGGAGCGGUGGGGAAUAUUGGACAAUGGGGGAAGGCGUGAUACAGCAAUGCCGCGUGAGUGAUGAAUGCCUUAGGGUUGUAAAGCUCUUUUUCACGGGGUGAUAAUGACGGUACCGGGAGAAUAAGCUCCGGCUAACUCCGUG